AAAAUAAGUUUCAGAUACUAUAUUUUCCUGAUCACUGCAUCAGAAUUCGUCUUGUUAUAUUAUCAGGUACGUUUUAACUAAAUCACCGGUUUGCUAUUUCCAGCACUUUAUAUGAGACAAAUACACACGGUAAUCUUAAUCCCUGCAUAUAACUCAAUCUUGCUGUUAUCUUUACACUUGUGUCUGUACCUUGACUUCUGUUGUCCUUGGAUAUGUACCUAUACGUUUCACUCGGAUGUUGUUUUAUCUUCUGGCCUUUUUCCUUGUAUCUUGACUUAUGGAUCUCAAUUCUGAGUAAGAAUAUAGUCUCUUGACCUGAAACAUGAGUCUAGUGAACUUGUC
This is a long non-coding RNA of Haliotis rubra (blacklip abalone), 342 nucleotides long. RefSeq lists it as uncharacterized. The record is from RefSeq and is a predicted model, not a curated record. The transcript has 3 exons. Lineage: Eukaryota; Metazoa; Mollusca; Gastropoda; Lepetellida; Haliotidae.